RNAcentral lists this ribosomal RNA (169 nucleotides) under Apolemichthys trimaculatus (threespot angelfish). RNAcentral describes it as "partial 12S ribosomal RNA". Lineage: Eukaryota; Metazoa; Chordata; Actinopteri; Pomacanthidae. The record is from RNAcentral.
CACCGCGGUUAUACGAGAGGCCCAAGUUGUUAGACAUCGGCGUAAAGCGUGGUUAAGACAAUUUUUAUACUAAAGCCAAACAUCUUCCGCACUGUUAUACGUUCACGAAGACAGGAAGCCCAAUCACGAAAGUAGCUUUAUAACAUCUGAACCCACGAAAGCUAGGGCA